UAACCACUCAAGCUCUCGCUUGGUAUUGGGGUUCGCGGUUUCGCGGCUCCUAAAAUCAGUGGCGGUGCCUGUCGGCUCUACGCGUAGUAAUACUCCUCGCGUCUGGGUCCGGUAGGUCUACUUGCCAGCAACCCCCAAUUUUUACA
RNAcentral lists this unclassified non-coding RNA (146 nucleotides) under Cadophora luteo-olivacea. Its description in RNAcentral is "partial internal transcribed spacer 2". Lineage: Eukaryota; Fungi; Ascomycota; Leotiomycetes; Helotiales; Ploettnerulaceae. The record is from RNAcentral. RNAcentral also lists the same sequence under 1 other name.